CCUACGGGUGGCAGCAGUGAGGAAUAUUGGUCAAUGGACGCAAGUCUGAACCAGCCAUGCCGCGUGCAGGAAGACGGCUCUAUGAGUUGUAAACUGCUUUUGUACGAGGGUAAACGCAGAUACGCGUACCUGUCUGAAAUUAUCGUACGAAUAAGGAUCGGCUAACUCCGUGCCAGCAGCCGCGGUAAUACGGAGGAUUCAAGCGUUAUCCGGCUUUAUUGGGUUUAAGGGGUGCGUAGGCGGUCGGUUAAGUCAGUGGUGAAAGCCCGAGGCUCAACUUCGGAAUUGCAUUUGAUACUGGUCGGCUAGAGUGUAGUUGCGGUAGGCGGAAUGUAUGGUGUAGCGGUGAAAUGCUUAGAGAUCAUACAGAACACCGAUUGCGAAGGCAGCUUACCAAGCUACUUCUGACAUUGAGGCACGAAAGCGUGGGGAGCAAACAGGAUUAGAUACCCUUGUAGUC
This 460-nucleotide ribosomal RNA is filed under the name uncultured bacterium. Its description in RNAcentral is "partial 16S ribosomal RNA". It matches the Rfam family "Bacterial small subunit ribosomal RNA", at positions 338 to 795 of the family's 1533-position model. The record is from RNAcentral.